AAUAAAAUCAUUUUUCGUUUUUCCGUGUCUAACGUUUGACCAUUCGUCUUAUUUGAAAAAUUUUUGCGAUUAAUAUUUUUGUUGUUACUAGUUAAUAAAACAUGAAUAGUACUUUAUGCGUGACUAAUUUUUGUAAGUUUUUUACAAAUUUUUUAAAUAAAAAAAUGUCAAACGUCGGAUACAGAAAAAC
Molecule: microRNA precursor, 190 nt
Filed under: Oryza brachyantha (malo sina)
Lineage: Eukaryota; Viridiplantae; Streptophyta; Magnoliopsida; Poales; Poaceae
Description: MIR812 microRNA precursor family
Rfam family: MIR812 microRNA precursor family
Source: Rfam by way of RNAcentral